AGUCGAGCGAACAGACGAGGAGCUUGCUCCUCUGACGUUAGCGGCGGACGGGUGAGUAACACGUGGGUAACCUACCUAUAAGACUGGGAUAACUCCGGGAAACCGGGGCUAAUACCGGAUAACACAUGAAACCGCAUGGUUUCAUGAUGAAAGACGGUUUUGCUGUCACUUAUAGAUGGACCCGCGGCGUAUUAGCUAGUUGGUAAGGUAACGGCUUACCAAGGCAACGAUACGUAGCCGACCUGAGAGGGUGAUCGGCCACACUGGAACUGAGACACGGUCCAGACUCCUACGGGAGGCAGCAGUAGGGAAUCUUCCGCAAUGGGCGAAAGCCUGACGGAGCAACGCCGCGUGAGUGAUGAAGGUCUUCGGAUCGUAAAACUCUGUUAUUAGGGAAGAACAAGGAUGUAAGUAACUGUGCAUCCCUUGACGGUACCUAAUCAGAAAGCCACGGCUAACUACGUGCCAGCAGCCGCGGUAAUACGUAGGUGGCAAGCGUUAUCCGGAAUUAUUGGGCGUAAAGCGCGCGUAGGCGGUUUUUUAAGUCUGAUGUGAAAGCCCACGGCUCAACCGUGGAGGGUCAUUGGAAACUGGAAAACUUGAGUGCAGAAGAGGAAAGUGGAAUUCCAUGUGUAGCGGUGAAAUGCGCAGAGAUAUGGAGGAACACCAGUGGCGAAGGCGACUUUCUGGUCUGCAACUGACGCUGAUGUGCGAAAGCGUGGGGAUCAAACAGGAUUAG
Molecule: ribosomal RNA, 739 nt
Filed under: uncultured Staphylococcus sp.
Lineage: Bacteria; Bacillati; Bacillota; Bacilli; Caryophanales; Staphylococcaceae
Description: bacterial SSU rRNA
Rfam family: Bacterial small subunit ribosomal RNA
Source: RNAcentral